RNAcentral lists this ribosomal RNA (699 nucleotides) under uncultured bacterium. Its description in RNAcentral is "bacterial SSU rRNA". It matches the Rfam family "Bacterial small subunit ribosomal RNA", at positions 135 to 854 of the family's 1533-position model. The record is from RNAcentral.
ACACACGGAUAACAUACCGAAAGGUAUGCUAAUACGGGAUAAUAUAUUUGAGAGGCAUCUCUUAAAUAUCAAAGGUGAGCCAGUACAGGAUGGACCCGCGUCUGAUUAGCUAGUUGGUAAGGUAACGGCUUACCAAGGCGACGAUCAGUAGCCGACCUGAGAGGGUGAUCGGCCACAUUGGAACUGAGACACGGUCCAAACUCCUACGGGAGGCAGCAGUGGGGAAUAUUGCACAAUGGGCGAAAGCCUGAUGCAGCAACGCCGCGUGAGUGAUGAAGGCCUUCGGGUCGUAAAACUCUGUCCUCAAGGAAGAUAAUGACGGUACUUGAGGAGGAAGCCCCGGCUAACUACGUGCCAGCAGCCGCGGUGAUACGUAGGGGGCUAGCGUUAUCCGGAUUUACUGGGCGUAAAGGGUGCGUAGGCGGUCUUUCAAGUCAGGAGUGAAAGGCUACGGCUCAACCGUAGUAAGCUCUUGAAACUGGGAGACUUGAGUGCAGGAGAGGAGAGUGGAAUUCCUAGUGUAGCGGUGAAAUGCGUAGAUAUUAGGAGGAACACCAGUUGCGAAGGCGGCUCUCUGGACUGUAACUGACGCUGAGGCACGAAAGCGUGGGGAGCAAACAGGAUUAGAUACCCUGGUAGUCCACGCUGUAAACGAUGAGUACUAGGUGUCGGGGGUUACCCCCUUCGGUGCCGCAGCUA